UUUCCGUAGGUGAACCUGCGGAAGGAUCAUUACCGAAUGAGGGUCAAUCAGGCCCGACCUCCCACCCUGUGUCUUUGUGACCUUGUUCCUUUGGCGGGGCCGCUCCGGUGCGGGGCGGCCGGAAGCUCACCGCUUUGCCCCCGUGCCCGCGAGUAGCCCCCUUCAAUUCUUAAUAACCCUAUCGGCCGAUUCUAGUUAUAAUAAAAAAACUUUCAACAACGGAUCUCUUGGUUCUG
This 236-nucleotide unclassified non-coding RNA is filed under the name plant metagenome. Its description in RNAcentral is "partial contains small subunit ribosomal RNA, internal transcribed spacer 1, and 5.8S ribosomal RNA". The record is from RNAcentral.